GAAUGGGUGUGUCUAAUGAAAGC
RNAcentral lists this non-coding RNA (23 nucleotides) under Rattus norvegicus (Norway rat). Lineage: Eukaryota; Metazoa; Chordata; Mammalia; Rodentia; Muridae. The record is from RNAcentral.